AAAAACAAACAAAAAUCAACCCAAUUUUAUAUAAAGAAUACAGGAUUAUUCCCUGUUCUGAUUUUUUUUUUUAUAAAGACUCUGGUUACUGUAUUUGUUGUUCAACCUCUCCCUGGGAUUGGAUAUGAUUUUGGCCUGAAUGACAUUAGUAAACUAUUUCCUGGAAUGUCAAGGGCCUCAAUAGCCCUGUCAAGAGAGACUCUUCUUUCAGGGGCUGUGGAGAGAGAGCAAGACUGCUCUGUUAUUAUAAGUUGUGCAUUGGCAGAAGCUCCAUGCAUCUGAGAUAAUUCGCAUGUGUCCAAUGAGCGUGAUCUACAGCUCUAGGGAGGUUUUCAAGAUUGCAUGAUGGCACUGUGUAAGAAUCUCCUUUGGGGUGGGGGGAGAGGGAAGAGGUUUUCUUUUUUUAUUUUUUUUCCUCCCUCUUCCUCAGCCUCAUUUCAAAGCAGUUCACCCUGUAGGCUAACGUCUCCACAUGCUGAGAGCACACAGCUGACCAUGUUGCUUCUGUGGCUGCCGAUCUCAUUAGUCGAGAGUAUCAGCAGUCUGCAUGGGUGGAAACAGGUUAUUUCAAAGCAAGACCAGAAAACCAAUGCCUGGAGAAGAGACUUGCCUAAGGACACCCAGCGAGUGUGUGGCAUGGCUCUGAUGAGAAGCCAGGCUGUUUAACUACAAGUCUUUCCUCCCCACCAAAGAGAGUGGAAGCUCCUUGAAUCAGGAAGCACUUUGUUUGGUCACCAGUCAAGAUGCCUGCCACAUAACGGUCGUAAUUUAUUGAAUAAUAAAUUCUUGUAAAUUGAA
Long non-coding RNA from Phascolarctos cinereus (koala), 798 nucleotides. RefSeq lists it as uncharacterized. Lineage: Eukaryota; Metazoa; Chordata; Mammalia; Diprotodontia; Phascolarctidae. The record is from RefSeq and is a predicted model, not a curated record.